GGCUGGUUAGCUCAGUCAGUUGAGUGUGGUGCUGACAAUGCCAAGGACGUGGGUUCGAGUCCCGUUUGGUCCC
Apaloderma vittatum (bar-tailed trogon) is the source of this 73-nucleotide non-coding RNA. The record is from Rfam. NCBI's taxonomy places the organism in Eukaryota, Metazoa, Chordata, Aves, Trogoniformes, Trogonidae.